AGAAAUUUUAUUGACUAGCUUUUCUUUAGAGUGACUUUUAUUUUCCUGAUGGUUGUACUACCCAGUCCCACUAAGAUCAUAAUUUGCAGCGUGAGACAAAAUGAACCCCCUUGUAUGCAUCCUCGUGGUCCUUAUAAGUAUAAGGGUAUGCUCUCUGAUAUAUUUCAUAUUCUAUAGAUAAGAUUGCGCGUGUGCUGUUUUAAAGCAUGUGUUGAAUACAAAGGAUGUUUGUAUACCAGACACUUCUUUUCGUUGGUACCUUUUGCGUAAUA
RNAcentral lists this unclassified non-coding RNA (272 nucleotides) under Hevea brasiliensis (rubber tree). Lineage: Eukaryota; Viridiplantae; Streptophyta; Magnoliopsida; Malpighiales; Euphorbiaceae. The record is from RNAcentral.